This 1036-nucleotide ribosomal RNA is filed under the name uncultured bacterium. RNAcentral describes it as "bacterial SSU rRNA". It matches the Rfam family "Bacterial small subunit ribosomal RNA", at positions 8 to 1057 of the family's 1533-position model. The record is from RNAcentral.
AGAGUUUGAUCCUGGCUCAGGAUGAACGCUAACGGCAGGCCUAAUACAUGCAAGUCGAGGGGUAAUCACACUUUCGGGUGUGAACGACCGGCGCACGGGUGCGUAACGCGUAUGCAACCUACCCACAACUGGGGGAUAGCCCGGAGAAAUCCGGAUUAAUACCCCAUAAUGCAGGGGUACUGCAUGGUACUAUUUGCUAAAGAUUUAUCGGUUGUGGAUGGGCAUGCGUCUGAUUAGUUAGUUGGUGAGGUAACGGCUCACCAAGGCGACGAUCAGUAGGGGGUCUGAGAGGAUGAUCCCCCACACUGGUACUGAGAUACGGACCAGACUCCUACGGGAGGCAGCAGUAGGGAAUAUUGGUCAAUGGGCGGAAGCCUGAACCAGCCAUGCCGCGUGCAGGAUGACGGCCUUCUGGGUUGUAAACUGCUUUUAUCAGGGAAGAAAACGGUCAUGCGUGACAGAUUGACGGUACCUGAAGAAUAAGCACCGGCUAACUCCGUGCCAGCAGCCGCGGUAAUACGGAGGGUGCAAGCGUUGUCCGGAUUUAUUGGGUUUAAAGGGUGCGUAGGCGGAUUAUUAAGUCAGUGGUGAAAGUUUGCGGCUCAACCGUAAAAGUGCCAUUGAUACUGGUAGUCUUGAGUACAGUAGAGGUAGGCGGAAUUUAUGGUGUAGCGGUGAAAUGCAUAGAUACCAUAAAGAACACCGAUAGCGAAAGCAGCUUACUAUACUGAGACUGACGCUGAGGCACGAAAGCGUGGGGAGCGAACAGGAUUAGAUACCCUGGUAGUCCACGCUGUAAACGAUGAAGACUCGCUGUUGGCGAUACACAGCCAGUGGCCCAGCGAAAGCGUUAAGUCUUCCACCUGGGGGAGUACGAUCGCAGAUUGAAACUCAAAGGAUUGACGGGGUCCGCCACAGCGGUGGAGCAUGGUGAUUUAUCGAUGAUACCGCGAGAACUUAACUUGGGCCUAGAUGCUUGCAUUCAGCAACGAGUCUCGACAUUGCAAGUCGUCAUGUGUGCUCACGACCUCUGUCC